This 247-nucleotide ribosomal RNA is filed under the name uncultured bacterium. Its description in RNAcentral is "partial 16S ribosomal RNA". It matches the Rfam family "Bacterial small subunit ribosomal RNA", at positions 523 to 769 of the family's 1533-position model. The record is from RNAcentral.
AUACGUAGGUGGCAAGCGUUGUCCGGAUUUACUGGGCGUAAAGAGUAUGUAGGCGGACAUUUAAGUCAGAUGUGAAAUCCCCGGGCUUAACCUGGGAGCUGCAUUUGAUACUGGGUGUCUAGAGUGUAGGAGAGGAAAGUGGAAUUCCUAGUGUAGCGGUGAAAUGCGUAGAGAUUAGGAAGAACACCAGUGGCGAAGGCGACUUUCUGGACUAUAACUGACGCUGAGAUACGAAAGCGUGGGGAGC